Molecule: long non-coding RNA, 652 nt
Filed under: Gallus gallus (chicken)
Lineage: Eukaryota; Metazoa; Chordata; Aves; Galliformes; Phasianidae
Description: long non-coding RNA NONGGAT014348
Source: RNAcentral
CAGGCACUGUCAGCCUAAAAGAGGUAGUCCAAAGCUGCAUUUAGGGACUGAACUGUAGUUCUGGUUUAUUUCAGAUUUAUACUCCUCUUCUUGACUAGUACUACUAUUGUUAUUUUAGCCAAGCUUUGUCCAGGAGAUUCCCAUGAUGCUAGACUGUUGUCUUAUUAAAUGUUCCUGUAGCAAAUAAGAUAAACAAGGCAUUCAGUGAACCAGACUAGGGACAGGUAAUUCACAAUCCUUUAUCACUGUUCUUAGUGGAAUUCAAAAGAAACAUUUUUGUAUUUUCCUAGACAUAUAUUAGACUUCUGUAAACAAAAUAUAGACCUCUAAUGAGGAAAAAAAUAUUUUACUUUACAAAAAAAAGUUGGUAGGUAGCUUGAAUAUUGCUGAAAAUAUAUUUAAACUCUUUUGUCCAAGUGGAAGUACUCAUUACACACCAUCAUAAUAUUGAGUGAAUUUAUGAGAGUCAGGUCAACAUAUAGGAAAUACUUGCUAACAUUUUUUAUGAGUCUUCUCUCUGAUGAGUAGCUUAUGCUUUUCUAUAUAUAUACAUUUCUUAUCCUAUUAAAGGAAAUGGAGGCCUACCUCUAGUGGGUUUAAUUAAUUAGUAUUUAACUCAAGAAAUUCCCCUGCCAUUUGCCAUCAAAGCAUU